GAGAGCAAAAUGGAGUCACAGAAGCAGGUCCUCAUGUCCCUGAUGCUCUGGGUGUCUGGUGCCUGUGCAGACAUCGUGAUGACCCAGUCUCCAUCCUCCCUGGCUGUGUCAGCAGGAGAGAAGGUCACCAUCAGCUGCAAGUCCAGUCAAAGUCUUUUAGACCAUAAAAACAACCGCUUAUCCUGGUACCAGCAGAAACCUGGGCAAUCUACUAAACUGCUGAUCUACUUAGCAUCCACUUGGGACACUGGGGUCCCUGAUCGCUUCACAGGCAGCGGGUCUGGGACAGACUUCACUCUCACCAUCAGCAGUGUCCAGGCUGAAGACCUGGCAGAUUACUACUGUCUUCAGGUUUAUAGUACUCCUCCCACAGUGCUUCAGCCUCCAACAAAAACCUCCUCUGAGAGUCUCACCAGCUGCCUGCCCCACACAGCCCUGGACCUGCACACUUCCACUUCCCCCUUUUGGCUGAGAGCCAGUGAGCCUGAAACAUUGAUGAAAAUAUUUGCAGACCCAGCAAAAUAUAAUGGGUUUAAUGUCACUUGUGUCUUUUUAUAUGAAAAACCUUCAUAA
This is a non-coding RNA of Peromyscus maniculatus bairdii (prairie deer mouse), 573 nucleotides long. The record is from the annotation of a RefSeq genome assembly. NCBI's taxonomy places the organism in Eukaryota, Metazoa, Chordata, Mammalia, Rodentia, Cricetidae.